CCUACGGGAGGCAGCAGUAGGGAAUCUUCCGCAAUGGACGAAAGUCUGACGGAGCAACGCCGCGUGAGUGAUGAAGGUUUUCGGAUCGUAAAGCUCUGUUGUUAGGGAAGAACAAGUGCCGUUCAAAUAGGACGGCACCUUGACGGUACCUAACCAGAAAGCCACGGCUAACUACGUGCCAGCAGCCGCGGUAAUACGUAGGUGGCAAGCGUUGUCCGGAAUUAUUGGGCGUGAAGGGCUCGCAGGCGGUUUCUUAAGUCUGAUGUGAAAGCCCCCGGCUCAACCGGGGAGGGUCAUUGGAAACUGGGGAACUUGAGUGCAGAAGAGGAGAGUGGAAUUCCACGUGUAGCGGUGAAAUGCGUAGAGAUGUGGAGGAACACCAGUGGCGAAGGCGACUCUCUGGUCUGUAACUGACGCUGAGGAGCGAAAGCGUGGGGAGCGAACAGGAUUAGAUACCCGGGUAGUC
RNAcentral lists this ribosomal RNA (466 nucleotides) under uncultured bacterium. Its description in RNAcentral is "bacterial SSU rRNA". It matches the Rfam family "Bacterial small subunit ribosomal RNA", at positions 338 to 795 of the family's 1533-position model. The record is from RNAcentral.